RNAcentral lists this ribosomal RNA (461 nucleotides) under uncultured Anoxybacillus sp. Its description in RNAcentral is "bacterial SSU rRNA". It matches the Rfam family "Bacterial small subunit ribosomal RNA", at positions 923 to 1382 of the family's 1533-position model. Lineage: Bacteria; Bacillati; Bacillota; Bacilli; Caryophanales; Anoxybacillaceae. The record is from RNAcentral.
GCACAAGCGGUGGAGUAUGUGGUUUAAUUCGAAGCAACGCGAAGAACCUUACCAGGUCUUGACAUCCCCUGACAACCCGAGAGAUCGGGCGUUCCCCUUCGGGGGACAGGGUGACAGGUGGUGCAUGGUUGUCGUCAGCUCGUGUCGUGAGAUGUUGGGUUAAGUCCCGCAACGAGCGCAACCCUCGACCUUAGUUGCCAGCAUUCAGUUGGGCACUCUAAGGUGACUGCCGGCUAAAAGUCGGAGGAAGGUGGGGAUGACGUCAAAUCAUCAUGCCCCUUAUGACCUGGGCUACACACGUGCUACAAUGGGCGGUACAAAGGGUCGCGAAGCCGCGAGGUGGAGCAAAUCGCAGAAAGCCGGCCUUAGUUCGGAUUGGAGUCUGAAACUCGACUCCAUGAAGGUGGAAUCGCUAGUAAUCGCGCAUCAGCAUGGCGCGGUCGAAUACGUUCCCGGGCCUU